AAGAACUAGGUCUGGCAUAGAUCAGUCUACCUGUUGGAGAAAACCAGAAAUAGGAAAGAGAGUUAUUAAUGGUUCAUUCUUAGCUGAGAAAAAUUCAGUGUGGAAUAAUUAAGAACUACUAUCAAUGCCUCUUACAAAAUGAGGUAAUUGGAUUGCAGAGUUGGCCUUCAAGAAGAUUUUGUGGCCUUUCUCAGCUGUCUAGGUGCUGUGUUUCUAUGGCUGCAAGGAUGAUGAUUAUGAUAUGGAUGGAUGAUGGAAGGAAGGAUCUAUGAAUUUAAUAUUUGAGUUUCAGUUACUGGACUUUACUUCUUCCAGAAAGUCAGGCCAAAAGAACAAAGUCCUAGAAGGUCUUCUGGUGAGUCACAUUCUGAGCAGGAAAUCUGGCAUUGAGGCAUAAUUAACAUUCAGGUUGCCCCCAGUUUCUAUGGAGAUGAGUCUAGCCCCUCGGGGGAGUAGUGAUGGAUGUGUAAUCUCCAAGAUAAGUAACUGACAGGCUGUAUUCUAGGUACUCAAAAUGAAAGAAAAAUAGGAUAUGUUUCUUACUUUAGAGACCAUAGAAACUAUUCUCCUAUAUUGAACCUUCUUGGUAAGAGCCCCAUCCCUUCAAAGGCCAUAUUAAUCUGAAGGCCAAUAUUGAAGUUCUAUGCUGUUACUUGUCAACUUGGAUGCAGCGAGUCAUCUGACCUGACCUGUGGACACAGCCUCUGCAUCUGUUGAAAGGACUAAAGAAGUCUAAUUCACAGAGUUACUGCAAGGAUAAUAGAACUGAGAGGACUGUGUGAGCAAUAGCACCAAUGUAAGAGUUAUCAUAGAUUUACACACUACUGGUUCUGAUGCAGCACAUAAGACAAGUACCAUGGGAAUGCAGAAGAGAAAGCAAUUAGGGAGAUCAACAAGGUUUCACAAAGCAGCUAUGGUGAACUUGGCCUUGAGGGUAGGGUUUUCCUGGUGAAGAAAAACAUUCUAGGCAGAAGAAAUAGCAUACACAAAGACUCAGAGGCACCUAAGAGUCCUGUGUGUUUAGUGAAUAAUGAACAGAAAUUGCCAUAGAUUUGGUGAUAAGUCAUUGGUGUUAAUUGAUAGGUUCGGUAGAAGCCAAUUCUUGAAGGGUUUUGUAUGCCAUAGUAAAGGAUUGAGCUUUAUUUAAGGAGCCACUGAAAAGCUUCAUUCAUUCUACAGAUAACUUUUUUGGUGAGCCAAUGUGUGCCAAGCAUGGUUGUAAGUACCUGUAGUGCAUCAGAAUAAUAAUAAAAAAGAAUAUUCACGUACCCACCACCCAAUUUAAAAACUAAGAAGUUUUCAAUCCUUAUGUAAGUCUCUGUGUUUCCCUUGUCAAUGAAAUCCUUCUCCUUGCUCCCCAAAAGUAACCCAAACGCUAAGUUUUGUGUUUGUCAUUUUCUUGUUUUUCAUUUCAGUUUUACUCAUAUGUGAGGAAAGGAGCUUAAGAAAUAUUUGCUCAGCUGAUAAAUAAAAAUAAAAAUAUAUGCCCCUGUGUGGGUGGUCCCCAGUGCCCUUUCUCACAGAUACUGCUUCUACUUCUGCCGUCAUUAUAAUUCCAGUGCUCUCAACCAGUCUUCCAUCCUCAGUUUUCUUGACUUAUAUGCUGGUGUCUAUUUGUAUGAAAUUGUUCUAUCUACUGUUGAAGUAACUUUAUACAAAUUACUCUCAGAAUCCCUAUUCUUUGACAUAGCACCUAUUUAUAAUUUUUAUCUCCUCUUUCUAUCUUUAUCCACACAUAAGUGGAAUAAUCACAGUUGUAGAUAUUUUAUGUUUUGUGCUUCAGUUUUUCACUUUGUACUGUUCUGUAGUUUUUGUAUUUCUAGAUAGUCUUUGUAUUAAUUAUUUUU
Molecule: long non-coding RNA, 1847 nt
Organism: Mandrillus leucophaeus (drill)
Lineage: Eukaryota; Metazoa; Chordata; Mammalia; Primates; Cercopithecidae
Exons: 6
Source: RefSeq, a predicted model, not a curated record